Molecule: long non-coding RNA, 1497 nt
Filed under: Nicotiana benthamiana
Lineage: Eukaryota; Viridiplantae; Streptophyta; Magnoliopsida; Solanales; Solanaceae
Description: long non-coding RNA (NBEN_LNC025520)
Source: RNAcentral
GAAUAAGAACAUAACUGACAAUUAAGCUGUCUAGAUCAUACGUUCAUACAUUGGUCAAUACGAGGUAGUUUCAUACUUUUGAUAGAAUGAUUUGGAGAAUAUUAGAACCACAUAUUUUGCUAUGUCACUACCUAACCAAGAAAUACAGAAUAAUCAAAAGAAAGGUAUACCAAAAAUUUUACAUCAUCAAGUUCAAUAUCGCAAAGCACUAUUUUGACAUGUUUACAAACAUCUAAAGUAGUUCAUAUCUACUAGAGGGUUACUUUUACAUAUUAACAUCAAUUUUCAUGUGUUAUCUAUCAGCAUCAGAGGUAUUCCAUUGAAACCAGAGCACAAGGAAAUGAAAAACUUUCAGAAUAAUAUAUAUUUAACAACAAAAAGUCAAAACACUAAUAAAACACCACCAAUUAUAGUCACAUGUAACAACCUGAUUAUAGACCACACAUUACCUCCAGAAAGCCUGCGCACGCAAAGUUCACAAAGAACAUUUAACAGCAAAAAGUCAAACAUUAAUCAAACACCACCAAUUAUUAUAUACUCAGAUGUAACAACCUGAUUAUAGACCACACAUUACCUCCAGAAAGCCUGCGCUCGCAAAGUUCACAAAGAAUAACUUAUGACAAACCUUCUAGGUUGCUUAUUUGCACACAUGAACUAAUUUAUAGUGCUCCCUCCCACUCUUCUGCUCAACCCCGAAAUUAAUAGUAUAUAAUUUACACCUAACUGGAAGCACUGCCCAAGUACCUUGAGCAAUCAUGGACACCAGGAAAACCACAACUUUGUGCACCUAGCCAGAGACUUCAUACACUCAGGUGCAUUGAGGGGACACAGAUCAAACAAAAGUGUGACUAGAGUGACUGAAUUCAGGGAGUUCUAAGAUGAAGAGCUAACUCCAGUGACACUUGGGUUUCAUGAGGCAAACGAGUAAGCCACAAGGAUGGAGGAUAGAAUAACUGCUGGUGGAUCACUGGUGUCAUAGCUAUACAAUGUUUCUGACAGAUGAUGGUGUCUGCAGGCAUGUCCAAAUGAUGGUUUGAUGCAAAGUCACAAUGACUGCUAAUAAUGAGCUAGCCAACUGUAGCAUCUAAAGUAUGUUCGUCUUCAAUUUUUCACUGAGGACACAUAAACUAAAGAUAAUGGUUGCAGAAAGUACUCCAAAUCCAAGCAUAACCCUACUACAAAGAAAAAGUAACAUAAGCAAAUUUACAAGUUUUUACUUUUUCAACUUGAUCAAUUUUUCUCAAAGAUAUGUCCAGCAUCUUCAUUGAGAAGACAACCCCCAAAACAGGAAGCUACUUUUCCACUCCAAAAGACAUUAUAGUCUCAAUGUAUAUCCUGAAAAUAAAAAUCUUAAUCGAGUAUAGUAAAGAACUAACACGUCACAAUAGCUUGAGUUUAAGAAAGAAAUCAAAUGAAAAGAACGUGAGAGCAUUGUUAGAAUAAUUAUACAAAAUGAGAUGAUUUUCAGCAUUUGCCAGCAAGCCAAGUUCGAUAGGC